UCGGUCCAGGAUGGACUCACGGCCUAUCAGCUUGUUGGCGGGGUAACGGCCCACCAAGGCGACGACGGGUAGCCGGCCUGAGAGGGUGACCGGCCACACUGGGACUGAGACACGGCCCAG
Molecule: ribosomal RNA, 120 nt
Filed under: uncultured bacterium
Lineage: Bacteria
Description: partial 16S ribosomal RNA
Rfam family: Bacterial small subunit ribosomal RNA
Source: RNAcentral